UCUGACGGAGCACGCCGCGUGAGUGAUGAAGGCUUUCGGGUCGUAAAACUCUGUUGUUAGGGAAGAACAAGUACGAGAGUAACUGCUCGUACCUUGACGGUACCUAACCAGAAAGCCACGGCUAACUACGUGCCAGCAGCCGCGGUAAUACGUAGGUGGCAAGCGUUAUCCGGAAUUAUUGGGCGUAAAGCGCGCGCAGGCGGUUUCUUAAGUCUGAUGUGAAAGCCCACGGCUCAACCGUGGAGGGUCAUUGGAAACUGGGGAACUUGAGUGCAGAAGAGAAAAGCGGAAUUCCACGUGUAGCGGUGAAAUGCGUAGAGAUGUGGAGGAACACCAGUGGCGAAGGCGGCUUUUUGGUCUGUAACUGACGCUGAGGCGCGAAAGCGUGGGGAGCAAACAGGAUUAGAUACCCUGGUAGUCCACGCCGUAAACGAUGAGUGCUAAGUGUUAGAGGGUUUCCGCCCUUUAGUGCUGCAGCUAACGCAUUAAGCACUCCGCCUGGGGAGUACGGUCGCAAGACUGAAACUC
Molecule: ribosomal RNA, 528 nt
Filed under: Priestia aryabhattai
Lineage: Bacteria; Bacillati; Bacillota; Bacilli; Caryophanales; Bacillaceae
Description: bacterial SSU rRNA
Rfam family: Bacterial small subunit ribosomal RNA
Source: RNAcentral